UACUUCUGUGUAGUGACCAGCAGGGGGCGACUCCUCUGCUCCCAUAGACGUCUAUGAGGAAAUGACUCUACUUCUCUCUUGAUUUAUUCCCUCAGUAAACAUUGUAAACAUGAGUUUAUGGUCUCAGUCUCUAGUUUCAAGUCUUCUUCAAUGCAGCAUGAUGUUCAUUUAGUGAAUGAUGGUCCAUUUAGAGUCAAACAGACCAUAAAGAGGGGAUGCUUUAGGGCGGGGUUACACGCUGAUUGACAGGUCUCUAACAGACCAUAAAGCAGGAGGUGCUUCACUAUGUGUUUUCACAUAGUUAAUUAUAACAUUUUGUUUGUACUUCCCUCAAGUACAAAAUGAUAUAUUUCUCACACCUUUGCUGUUUAUUAGUAGGAAGGUUGGUUCCAUGUAAUCAUUAUAUAAUACGGAGCUGUUACUAACUUGGUUUUUACACUUUGUUUUCCAAGAUGCUCAGACAGUGUGAUGUUUUCAUCACAGCUUUGGUCAACACACAGCGGGAGACGGAGCCAGAGCAAAGAACGAGGGACGCUCUAACGAAUACCCAGUGAUGUCCUGUUGCAUCUUGGGAAAGAAACAAGCUUGUUCUCAAAGCAAGGUCUCACAGUCUGACCUGCAGUCCUGGUACUGGUUCUCCAGGGCCUCCCUUCACUCCAGAACGUCCAGCACUACGUCCUCGUUCUCCAGAGAGGAGAAGCUCUGCUCCCGGAGGAGGAGAAGGAGCAAGAGGAGGAAGAGGAGGAGAAGGAGGAGACCACACAGAGACUGGUUCAUGUAGAGGAUUUAUGGGCUUGACGAGGUCCUUUGAUCCUGAACCCAUCAAACACAACCAUACAAGGUUCUGGAUGCCGAGUGGCUGCAGGUUCCCAGUUUGACCUCACGCGUCUCGCCACAGGGGGGCGCCGCUGAUCCACCUCGGUACUGCAUGCUGCCGAGACAUCUUCAUCCUCGCCACCUUCAUCCUCAUCAUCAAUCAAGAGUCUCUUCAUCCACACGAGCAGAAGACAAAGUGACAAAGGUGUGAAAGGUCACACAGACGUGUGUGUGUGUGUUUCCAUAGUAAAUAUGUAAAUAUGAUUGAAAAUAUUCAUAAUUAACAAAAACACUUUAAAAAUUGAGAUUAUUCUGAUAUUACUGAAAAAUAAAAUGUAAUAUACAGUAACAAUGAAUCUCUGUAUCUAUGCCUGUACACCAAAGGAGAAAAUAAUUAUAAAAUGACUUUAAUAACCCGUAAUAUGAAGUAAGGGGGGGUGUAAUAUCUCAAUUAGACAUUGUCUUUAUUAAAAUCCCAAC
Long non-coding RNA from Pungitius pungitius (ninespine stickleback), 1296 nucleotides. RefSeq lists it as uncharacterized. NCBI's taxonomy places the organism in Eukaryota, Metazoa, Chordata, Actinopteri, Perciformes, Gasterosteidae. The record is from RefSeq and is a predicted model, not a curated record. The transcript has 3 exons.